GGAUGGUGGCUCAGAGGUAGAGUACUUGCCUGGCACGUGUGAGGCCCUGGGUUCAAUUCUCAGCACCA
Molecule: transfer RNA, 68 nt
Filed under: Marmota monax (woodchuck)
Lineage: Eukaryota; Metazoa; Chordata; Mammalia; Rodentia; Sciuridae
Description: tRNA.Ala
Rfam family: tRNA
About the family: Transfer RNA (tRNA) molecules are approximately 80 nucleotides in length. Their secondary structure includes four short double-helical elements and three loops (D, anti-codon, and T loops).
Source: RNAcentral